CAGCAGUGGGGAAUAUUGCACAAUGGGCGCAAGCCUGAUGCAGCCAUGCCGCGUGUGUGAAGAAGGCCUUCGGGUUGUAAAGCACUUUCAGCGGGGAGGAAGGCGAUAAGGUUAAUAACCUUGUUGAUUGACGUUACCCGAAGAAGAAGCACCGGCUAACUCCGUGCCAGCAGCCGCGGUAAUACGGAGGGUGCAAGCGUUAAUCGGAAUUACUGGGCGUAAAGCGCACGCAGGCGGUCUGUCAAGUCGGAUGUGAAAUCCCCGG
Molecule: ribosomal RNA, 265 nt
Filed under: Klebsiella quasipneumoniae subsp. quasipneumoniae
Lineage: Bacteria; Pseudomonadati; Pseudomonadota; Gammaproteobacteria; Enterobacterales; Enterobacteriaceae
Description: partial 16S ribosomal RNA
Rfam family: Bacterial small subunit ribosomal RNA
Source: RNAcentral